GAUGAACGCUGGCGGCGUGCCUAAUACAUGCAAGUCGAGCGAACAGACGAGGAGCUUGCUCCUCUGACGUUAGCGGCGGACGGGUGAGUAACACGUGGAUAACCUACCUAUAAGACUGGGAUAACUUCGGGAAACCGGAGCUAAUACCGGAUAAUAUAUUGAACCGCAUGGUUCAAUAGUGAAAGACGGUUUUGCUGUCACUUAUAGAUGGAUCCGCGCCGCAUUAGCUAGUUGGUAAGGUAACGGCUUACCAAGGCGACGAUGCGUAGCCGACCUGAGAGGGGGGUGGGCCACACGGGAACUGGGACCCGGUCCGGGCCCCUAGGGGAGGCAGAGGUAGGGAAGCUUCCGCAAAGGGCGAAAGCCUGACGGAGCAACGCCGGGGGGGUGAUGAAGGUCUUCGGACCGUAAAACUCUGUUAUUGGGGAAAAAAAAAUUUGAAAGUAACUAUGCCGGUUUUGACGGUACCUAAACAGAAAGCCCCGGCUAACUACGU
RNAcentral lists this ribosomal RNA (496 nucleotides) under uncultured bacterium. RNAcentral's name for it is "partial 16S ribosomal RNA". It matches the Rfam family "Bacterial small subunit ribosomal RNA", at positions 28 to 506 of the family's 1533-position model. The record is from RNAcentral.